RNAcentral lists this unclassified non-coding RNA (337 nucleotides) under soil metagenome. RNAcentral's name for it is "partial contains 5.8S ribosomal RNA, internal transcribed spacer 2, and large subunit ribosomal RNA". The stretch from base 1 to 120 matches the Rfam family "5.8S ribosomal RNA", at positions 35 to 154 of the family's 154-position model. The record is from RNAcentral.
GAUGAAGAACGCAGCGAAAUGCGAUAAGUAAUGUGAAUUGCAGAAUUCAGUGAAUCUUCGAAUCUUUGAACGCACAUUGCGCCCGCCAGUAUUCUGGCGGGCAUGCCUGUUCGAGCGUCAUUUCAACCAUCAAGCCCCCGGGCUUGUGUUGGGGACCUGCGGCUGCCGCAGGCCCUGAAAAGCAGUGGCGGGCUCGCUGUCACACCGAGCGUAGUAGAUUUUAUCUCGCUCUGGGCGUGCUGCGGGUUCCGGCCGUUAAACCACCCUUUUAACCCAAGGUUGACCUCGGAUCAGGUAGGAAGACCCGCUGAACUUAAGCAUAUCAAUAAGCGGAGGA